Molecule: ribosomal RNA, 1346 nt
Filed under: uncultured bacterium
Lineage: Bacteria
Description: bacterial SSU rRNA
Rfam family: Bacterial small subunit ribosomal RNA
Source: RNAcentral
GACGAACGCUGGCGGCGUGCUUAACACAUGCAAGUCGAACGGAAAGGCCCUGCUUUUGUGGGGUGCUCGAGUGGCGAACGGGUGAGUAACACGUGAGUAACCUGCCCUUGACUUUGGGAUAACUUCAGGAAACUGGGGCUAAUACCGGAUAGGAGCUCCUGCUGCAUGGUGGGGGUUGGAAAGUUUCGGCGGUUGGGGAUGGACUCGCGGCUUAUCAGCUUGUUGGUGGGGUAGUGGCUUACCAAGGCUUUGACGGGUAGCCGGCCUGAGAGGGUGACCGGCCACAUUGGGACUGAGAUACGGCCCAGACUCCUACGGGAGGCAGCAGUGGGGAAUAUUGCACAAUGGGCGGAAGCCUGAUGCAGCAACGCCGCGUGCGGGAUGACGGUCUUCGGGUUGUAAACCGCUUUCGCCUGUGACGAAGCGUGAGUGACGGUAAUGGGUAAAGAAGCACCGGCUAACUACGUGCCAGCAGCCGCGGUGAUACGUAGGGUGCGAGCGUUGUCCGGAUUUAUUGGGCGUAGAGGGCUCGUAGGUGGUUGAUCGCGUCGGAAGUGUAAUCUUGGGGCUUAACCCUGAGCGUGCUUUCGAUACGGGUUGACUUGAGGAAGGUAGGGGAGAAUGGAAUUCCUGGUGGAGCGGUGGAAUGCGCAGAUAUCAGGAGGAACACCAGUGACGAAGGCGGUUCUCUGGGCCUUUCCUGACGCUGAGGAGCGAAAGCGUGGGGAGCGAACAGGCUUAGAUACCCUGGUAGUCCACGCUGUAAACGGUGGGUACUAGGUGUGGGGUCCAUUCCACGGGUUCCGUGCCGUAGCUAACGCUUUAAGUACCCCGCCUGGGGAGUACGGCCGCAAGGCUAAAACUCAAAGGAAUUGACGGGGCCCCGCACAAGCGGCGGAGCAUGCGGAUUAAUUCGAUGCAACGCGUAGAACCUUACCUGGGUUUGACAUGGAUCGGGAGCGCUCAGAGAUGGGUGUGCCUCUUUUGGGGUCGGUUCACAGGUGGUGCAUGGCUGUCGUCAGCUCGUGUCGUGAGAUGUUGGGUUAAGUCCCGCAACGAGCGCAACCCUUGUUCACUGUUGCCAGCACGUUAUGGUGGGGACUCAGUGGAGACCGCCGGGGUCAACUCGGAGGAAGGUGGGGAUGACGUCAAGUCAUCAUGCCCCUUAUGUCCAGGGCUUCACGCAUGCUACAAUGGCUGGUACAGAGAGUGGCGAGCCUGUGAGGGUGAGCGAAUCUCGGAAAGCCGGUCUCAGUUCGGAUUGGGGUCUGCAACUCGACCUCAUGAAGUCGGAGUCGCUAGUAAUCGCAGAUCAGCAACGCUGCGGUGAAUACGUUCCCGGGGCU